UACGUAGGUGGCAAGCGUUGUCCGGAUUUAUUGGGCGUAAAGGGAGCGCAGGCGGUGACUUAAGUCUGAUGUGAAAGCCCACGGCUCAACCGUGGAAGGUCAUUGGAAACUGGGUCACUUGAAUAUAGAAGAGGAAAGUGGAAUUCCAUGUGUAGCGGUGAAAUGCGUAGAUAUAUGGAGGAACACCAGUGGCGAAGGCGACUUUCUGGUCUAUUAUUGACGCUGAGGCUCGAAAGCAUGGAUAGCAAACAGGAUUAGA
Molecule: ribosomal RNA, 259 nt
Filed under: uncultured prokaryote
Description: partial 16S ribosomal RNA
Rfam family: Bacterial small subunit ribosomal RNA
Source: RNAcentral